CACCAUACCAAGCUAAUUUUUGUAUUUUUAGUAGAGAUGGGGUGUCACAAUGUUGCCCGGGCUGGUCUUGAACUCCUGGGCCCAAGCAAUUGGCCUACCCUGGUCUCCUAAAAUGCCGAGAGUACAGGCAUGAACCAUUGUGCCCGGCCUAGUCUCUUUUCUUAAAACAGAAAUACGGAGUUGUCUGCAGGAAGUCUCUGCUUUGUGCCUGGUAGACGAAGAGGAGCACAGAUCAUCCCCCAGGGGCAUCUGUCUAUCUGUCUGGCUUUGUCAGGCAUUCUGCACAACUCCCAAGUUCCAGGGUUCUGCACAUUUGCAUUAUAAGAUUUUCAAGUAGAUUUUUUUUGGGUGUUAACAUUAAUUCUAAAUAUGAAUGAGUCCCAGGAGAACAAUUAAACCCAUUUAUGCCUAGUGUUCCAUUAUUGGAACACUAAGUAUGUAGGAAUUAUUUAUAUCCUACUGCUCAAUGUCAUUGCCAAGGUCUGAUUUUUCACACAUGUCUGCAAUUCAAAAAAUUGCAACCUCCAGCAUAAAUGGGUUAAAGUAGAGUGUUUUUGCAGCUAAUGCUUUUUAAGCCUCUGUAUUUGAAAGAGGCUUACUUAGGAAGUUGAACUUGGCUGGGUCUGUCACAACUGUCGCCUGAAUACUGGUUUUUGUGCUGGACCCUGCACACUGCUGCAGGACUCGCAGCAGGAACCUACAAAUCAUGGUCCCUGCCCUCCCGGAGCUUUUGGCUUUGAAGAGGACAGCCACUGAACAUGUGGUUCUUACACCCGUGGCAGGUGUGGCUCAACUCCUGCUUUAGGGAGUUCAAGUCCAAGGACACAUCCGCUCUGUCUGAUAAAACACUUCUGAUGGGACACAGAAUGACACAAGCAGAGGGACCUGGGGAGGCUUCCGCUGGGGAGCAUCUUAGCUGUGCAGACUCGGGGAUAGCAAUGUCAUGGGAUGUCUGAUAUAUAGAUCCCCUU
Molecule: long non-coding RNA, 971 nt
Filed under: Pan troglodytes (chimpanzee)
Lineage: Eukaryota; Metazoa; Chordata; Mammalia; Primates; Hominidae
Description: long non-coding RNA NONPTRT009958
Source: RNAcentral